RNAcentral lists this ribosomal RNA (442 nucleotides) under uncultured bacterium. Its description in RNAcentral is "partial 16S ribosomal RNA". It matches the Rfam family "Bacterial small subunit ribosomal RNA", at positions 338 to 795 of the family's 1533-position model. The record is from RNAcentral.
CCUACGGGAGGCAGCAGUAGGGAAUCUUUCACAAUGGGCGAAAGCCUGAUGGAGCAACGCCGCGUGCAGGAUGAAGGCCUUCGGGUUGUAAACUGCUUUUAUAAGCGAGAAAUAUGAUGGUAACUUAUGAAUCAGGAUCGGCUAACUACGUGCCAGCAGCCGCGGUCAUACGUAGGAUCCGAGCAUUAUCCGGAGUGACUGGGUGUAAAGAGUUGCGUAGGUGGCAUAAUAAGUAGCUAGUGAAAUCUGGUGGCUCAAACAUUCAGACUAUUAGCUAAACUGUUAAGCUCGAGUGCGUUAGGGGUAACUGGAAUGUCUAGUGUAGGAGUGAAAUGCGUAGAUAUUAGAAAGAACACCGAUAGCGUAGGCAGGUUACUGGGACGGUACUGACGCUAAGGCACGAAAGCGUAGGGAGCAAACGGGAUUAGAUACCCCGGUAGUC